GGGCCACCCUGUGGCUUAGCAGGCGGCCGGCUCUGCCCAAGGAAGCCCAGGGCCUGUCUCAGUGUCCCCUCAGACUGCUGCAUGGCCUGGGGGAAGGGCCGUUGAGGGUCUUGGCUGCUGCCACUGCAAUAACAGGACUUCUCCUCUCACAGAGACCAGCUCUUCGGCCACCAGCUACAGCUCUGAGUUCAGCAAGCGGCUGCUAAGCACCUAUAUCUGUAAAGUGCUGGGCAACCUGCAGUUGAACUUGCUGAGCAAGUCCAAGGUGUACGAGGACCCAGCUCUGAGCGCCAUCUUCCUGCACAACA
Molecule: long non-coding RNA, 308 nt
Filed under: Pan troglodytes (chimpanzee)
Lineage: Eukaryota; Metazoa; Chordata; Mammalia; Primates; Hominidae
Description: long non-coding RNA NONPTRT007341
Source: RNAcentral